Hibiscus syriacus is the source of this 116-nucleotide small nuclear RNA. RefSeq annotates it as U5 spliceosomal RNA. The transcript has a single exon. NCBI's taxonomy places the organism in Eukaryota, Viridiplantae, Streptophyta, Magnoliopsida, Malvales, Malvaceae. The record is from RefSeq and is a predicted model, not a curated record.
GAGCCGUGCGGUGAGUAUAAAACAAACUAUUCUUUCGCCUUUUAUUAAAGAAUACCGUGUGCUCGCCACCAGGGCCGAUCCUGAUAUUUUAAGGGCCCUUAAAAAUAACUUAAAAU